This is a long non-coding RNA of Daucus carota subsp. sativus, 1677 nucleotides long. RefSeq lists it as uncharacterized. NCBI's taxonomy places the organism in Eukaryota, Viridiplantae, Streptophyta, Magnoliopsida, Apiales, Apiaceae. The transcript is spliced from 3 exons. The record is from RefSeq and is a predicted model, not a curated record.
UCUCUUCUCUCUGUUCACAAAAAAGUUUCAUUUUCGCGGCUAAAGUUCAAAAUAUUUUUGUUUACCGGCAAACUAGCAGAUAAAGCUAACUGGAGUCUCCUAUUUCGUGAUGAUGUUUUAGUUUCAACAGUCGUACUAUGUUUGGCCUUUUUUCUCUGCGAUUUAUAUUUUCUGAUAUUUUCUUCCCCUGUCCUUCAUGCGUAACUCGUAAGGUAGAUGAACAACUGUUUAAAUUUUGAUUUGUCAUCAUAUCUAUCGGGUUAUGCAUAAUAUGUAUUGGGCUUCUUCUACUCUGUUUUGGCGAUUGUGUGUUUCUUGGUUCAGAUUCUAUGCUCAGAUUUUUUGUUUGUUUUUCAUCAAAUUCAAGUAUGUACUCUAACUGUUUGAUAAUAUCACUCAAACAAAAACCGUCCAUAUUUAUCAUUCCAUUUUGCAAUCGCAAAAUCUCUAAAUAUUGGAAUCUUUCUAUUUUGGCAGAAUUGUGAAAUUAAAACCUCAGGCUAAGAAGUCCGCCAUGAAGGGUCGAUGCAACUCAAAAAGAUAGCAGGACCCCUUUGAAAGUCAUACUUGCAUUAUGAGAAGUAGGGGAGAGCGUGGGCCGGUUCGGCUCGGUUUUUCGAUAAAACCGGAACCGCAACCAUAUAUCCUCGGUUUUUGAAAUCGAAAACCGCAACCGCCGGUUCGGAUUCGGUUUCGGUUUAAAAAUCCCGGUUCGGUUAUAAUCGGCUCGGUUUCGGUUACAAAACCGACUACAAAAUUCACUUGGUACUUAUUGCCCAGACAUCAGUCGAAAGAAUUAUUUUAGGAUUUCACACCAUAUAAUCAGAGAGUGCUCCAGUUUAAGAAUUUUCAGGGGCAAUCUGUGUCCUGUGAUUAUUACCUCUCUAAUGUGUAGUGUGCCAAGCAUCAUGACUUGGGUAAUAUUAGCAACAGUAGAAGAUAAAGAUUUCUGACAGAACACAAAAGAGCUGCAUAUAAGAAUUCAUGUGACUUAGUAGUAUAAAUUAAAGUUAGAAUUACAUUAUAUAAAAUUAUAUAGAUUAUAAAUAAUUAUAUAAAAUUAUAUUUAAUUAUUUAUUUUAAUAAUCGGUUCGGUUCAGUUUUUUCCGGUUCGGUUUGGAAAUAUAACCGGAACCGAACCAAUUAAAACGGUUCGGGUUCGGUUUAAUUUUUUCGGUUUCGGUUUCGGUUUUUGACGGUUCGGUUUUAGCCGGUUUUUCCCGGUUUCGGUUUCGGUUCGGUUUCAGAUCGGUUUUUUGCUCACCCCUAAUGAGAAGUAAAGAUGAAGUUGGUUCAUCAACAGCGGAUAAUGUAACAAUUGGAAGGGAAGAUAACUAGAAGUGAUGUGUAAUUUCUGGAGCUCACAAUCAAAAGGAUAUUUUAUUAACUUGAAUGAUUAGUCCACUUAAGUGGUAUUGCUGAUCAAGUUGAGAAAGCGCAGAAUCUGUGUUACUUCAAUGACAUUACUGGAUGAGUCACACGUUGGGAUGGUUAUCACAAAUUUUAAUUCCAAAGUCAGCAAAAAUCAGCUUCUGAUCCAAUGUUAGGAGAUUUAAGAUAUCUAUUUUUUUUUUCAAGUACCUUGUAUAUAUACAGUUUAAAUGUACUGUUUAAGUUCAAGUUUUGUGUAUUAUUACAUUUUAGUUUGAAUGAAUGGAAUAAUAAAAUUACUUUUAC